Molecule: ribosomal RNA, 407 nt
Filed under: uncultured bacterium
Lineage: Bacteria
Description: bacterial SSU rRNA
Rfam family: Bacterial small subunit ribosomal RNA
Source: RNAcentral
AUUGAACGCUGGCGGCAUGCCUUACACAUGCAAGUCGAACGGCAGCACGGGAGCAAUCCUGGUGGCGAGUGGCGAACGGGUGAGUAAUAUAUCGGAACGUGCCCAGUCGUGGGGAUAACGUAGCGAAAGUUACGCUAAUACCGCAUACGAUCUAAGGAUGAAAGCGGGGGAUCGCAAGACCUCGCGCGAUUGGAGCGGCCGAUAUCAGAUUAGGUAGUUGGUGAGGUAAAGGCUCACCAAGGCGACGAUCCGUUAGCUGGUCUGAGAGGACGACCAGCCACACUGGGACUGAGACACGGCCCAGACUCCUACGGGAGGCAGCAGUGGGGAAUUUUUGGACAAUGGGCGCAAGCCUGAUCCAGCAAUGCCGCGUGCAGGAUGAAGGCCUCGGUUGUAACUAGCUUUGU